UUUUUCAAUACAUUGGUAGUCAAGGCGGGGCUCUAGUCUUGUUAAGGCGGCCGCCUUAACAAGAUAGUGCUGGGGGAAACCCUGAUAUGUAUGAACUACUUAAAUCUAACAAUUUGUUCUCUGUAAGUUUUUUCAUAAACCCGCGUUUUUUUUUAUUUUGUAGGAAGCUCUCCGUCUCUUCACAGCUCUGAUGAAAAUGGCCGGCGGAGCGAGGCCUGAUUCCCGCACACAUAGAGGCGGUCACUGCACAUUACGCCGAGACUCGCUGAAAGUCUGCAUUUGCAGUGCGGAAAAACAGCACCAUUGUACCUGCCUGUACUAUGACUUACUAAGACCCACUAUGAGCCAGUAUGAAGGAGCUUCCAGUACAUCCAUACGGACCUUGCCUCAGCAUUGAGGAGUUCAGGAGUUGGCAGAGAAGAAAGAGGAUGAAUUGGAUCCAUCCUUCCAAAGCCAGGAGCUCACCGACCUGUUUACCACACUUCAAAUAAGACUAGAACCUACACUGGAUCUCAUAGCUACACACCACAGACAUCUAAACACUGGGGCAGAUUCGGACAGAGUCCCACAAAGAACGUAUGAUCCAGAGGCUGCAAAGAGACAUUUCAAGCUUCACCUGAUUAGUUUUUCACUGGCUAGGCCAGUUGGGUUUGUACAAUAUUUGUGGUGUAUGUAAAUAAAGCUUUGA
Platichthys flesus (European flounder) is the source of this 688-nucleotide long non-coding RNA. RefSeq lists it as uncharacterized. NCBI's taxonomy places the organism in Eukaryota, Metazoa, Chordata, Actinopteri, Pleuronectiformes, Pleuronectidae. The record is from RefSeq and is a predicted model, not a curated record. The transcript is spliced from 4 exons.